Molecule: ribosomal RNA, 255 nt
Filed under: uncultured bacterium
Lineage: Bacteria
Description: partial 16S ribosomal RNA
Rfam family: Bacterial small subunit ribosomal RNA
Source: RNAcentral
UACGUAGGAUGCAAGCGUUAUCCGGAAUUAUUGGGCGUAAAGCGAUCGAAGGCUGAGGAGCAGGUCUGAUAUUAAAUACCCACGGCUUAACCGGGGUUUCGUAUCGGAAACCACUUUUCUAGAGGAAGACAGAGGCAGGUAGAAUUUCCAUUGUAGGGGUUAAAUCCGUAGAUAAUGGAAGGAAUACCAAAAGCGAAGGCAGCCUGCUGGGUCUUUUCUGACGCUGCGCGAUCGAAAGCGUGGGGAGCGAAAGGG